RNAcentral lists this ribosomal RNA (272 nucleotides) under uncultured Sphingomonadales bacterium. Its description in RNAcentral is "partial 16S ribosomal RNA". It matches the Rfam family "Bacterial small subunit ribosomal RNA", at positions 524 to 796 of the family's 1533-position model. Lineage: Bacteria; Pseudomonadati; Pseudomonadota; Alphaproteobacteria; Sphingomonadales. The record is from RNAcentral.
UACGGAGGGAGCUAGCGUUGUUCGGAAUUACUGGGCGUAAAGCGCACGUAGGCGGCUUUGUAAGUUAGAGGUGAUAGCCUGGAGCUCAACUCCAGAAUUGCCUUUAAGACUGCAUCGCUUGAAUCCAGGAGAGGUGAGUGGAAUUCCGAGUGUAGAGGUGAAAUUCGUAGAUAUUCGGAAGAACACCAGUGGCGAAGGCGUCUCACUGGACUGGUAUUGACGCUGAGGUGCGAAAGCGUGGGGAGCAAACAGGAUUAGAUACCUGGUAGUCA